GCGGUGAAAUGCGUAGAUAUCUACUGGAAUGCCGAUGGGGAAGCCGGUCGGCUGGGCCUGUCUUGACGCUGAGGCACGAAAGCGUGGGGAGCAAACAGGAUUAGAUACCCUGGUAGUCCACGCCGUAAACGAUGUACACUAGACUGGUGCGGUUUUGACGCCGUAUCAGUCGCAGUAAAAACGAUAAGUGUACCGCCUGGGGAGUACGGUCGCAAGGCUAAAACUCAAAUGAAUUGACGG
Molecule: ribosomal RNA, 240 nt
Filed under: uncultured bacterium
Lineage: Bacteria
Description: partial 16S ribosomal RNA
Rfam family: Bacterial small subunit ribosomal RNA
Source: RNAcentral